RNAcentral lists this long non-coding RNA (448 nucleotides) under Schizosaccharomyces pombe (fission yeast). Its description in RNAcentral is "non-coding RNA, poly(A)-bearing". The record is from RNAcentral. Lineage: Eukaryota; Fungi; Ascomycota; Schizosaccharomycetes; Schizosaccharomycetales; Schizosaccharomycetaceae.
UAUUAAAUUAAAAGGACCAAAUGAGGGAGAAAAUUUAUACAGCAUAUUAGGGCACAUUAAUAUGAAGACGCCCAAGAAAUAUAUAAGUGAACAGACAUUUGAUUCGAUCUAUAUUUUUGCGUCCGCAAAAUCUUAAAAAAAGUACUUUAAGUAUACUUGAUGUGUAUCUUUUAUAGGAAUCGUGUAUUUUUACUAGUGACUUAAAGUUUAUCAUCAGUUGCAACUCAUACUAGCGUAUGGCGCUUUACAAUAAAAGAAGGUGAUUAAUUUGUUAUAGGGUCAAUUUUAUAUGGCAGUUGAAGUUUUCACUGGUGAAGUGAACUACCCUUCUAGAUAUUGCAAAUAUACGUCUUUCACUUUAGAAGCUUUAGGAUAGAAGGUAUCAAUUGACAUCUAAUUAUAUAAAGCAUCAAUUUCAUUAAAAAACGUUUAACACCGAAUCAUAAAA